GGGAGGUGUACGGGAGGGCAGACCCGGGAUUGCCACCCUCACCCCUUUUCCGUGACCGCGUUUCUGCCAAGCGCCCCAGGCCGGGAGGAGAGCCGGGCACAGGCGACAGCCUCCGAGAGUUUACGCCGGCUGGUCCGGGAAGGGUUCGCUGAGUCCAAUUAAAUCCCCACGUUCUUUCCUUCUUGAGCCCACUCCAUCUCGGACUGGCUCCAACUGGGACCCUCCGGCUUUCUGAAGAAGUUUAUCCAGCUCUACAAGCUAGGCG
RNAcentral lists this long non-coding RNA (265 nucleotides) under Homo sapiens (human). RNAcentral's name for it is "non-protein coding lnc-ATP6AP2-6:1". Lineage: Eukaryota; Metazoa; Chordata; Mammalia; Primates; Hominidae. The record is from RNAcentral.